RNAcentral lists this non-coding RNA (89 nucleotides) under Cellulomonas sp. RNAcentral's name for it is "Glycine sequence". It matches the Rfam family "Glycine riboswitch aptamer". From Rfam's summary of the family: This family represents the bacterial glycine riboswitch. The record is from RNAcentral. Lineage: Bacteria; Bacillati; Actinomycetota; Actinomycetes; Micrococcales; Cellulomonadaceae.
CGAACCGAGGCGGGAGAGUCCCGCGCAGCGGGCGCCGAAGGAGCAACCCUCCCCGGGAAUCUCUCAGGCCCCUGUACCGCCACGGCGAG